GACGAACGCUGGCGGCGUGCUUAACACAUGCAAGUCGAACGGUGAAGCGCCUUCCUUUUUGGUGGGUGUGGAUGAGUGGCGAACGGGUGAGUAACACGUGAGUAACCUGCCCCCUUCUUCUGGAUAACCGCAUGAAAGUGUGGCUAAUACGGGAUAUUCUGGGUCUGUCGCAUGAUGGGUCUGGGAAAGAUAUUGUUUCGGUGGGGGAUGGGCUCGCGGCCUAUCAGCUUGUUGGUGGGGUGAUGGCCUACCAAGGCGGUGACGGGUAGCCGGCCUGAGAGGGUGGACGGUCACACUGGGACUGAGACACGGCCCAGACUCCUACGGGAGGCAGCAGUGGGGAAUAUGGCACAAUGGGCGCAAGCCUGAUGCAGCGACGCCGCGUGAGGGAUGGAGGCCUUCGGGUUGUGAACCUCUUUCGCCAGUGAAGCAGGCCUGCCUCGUUUGUGGGUGGGUUGACGGUAGCUGGAUAGGAAGCGCCGGCUAACUACGUG
Molecule: ribosomal RNA, 494 nt
Filed under: uncultured bacterium
Lineage: Bacteria
Description: partial 16S ribosomal RNA
Rfam family: Bacterial small subunit ribosomal RNA
Source: RNAcentral